Long non-coding RNA from Ruditapes philippinarum (Manila clam), 839 nucleotides. RefSeq lists it as uncharacterized. The transcript has 4 exons. The record is from RefSeq and is a predicted model, not a curated record. Lineage: Eukaryota; Metazoa; Mollusca; Bivalvia; Venerida; Veneridae.
AUGCAAACGGCGAACGUUUACAAAAAGGAUGUCGUUUAAGAAAAGAAGGUAAUCAUAUGAAUUAUAAGGUAUGUUUCCGUCACACUAUCAACAAGUGUUUAUCUCUAUUGGUCCAGAUUUGUUUUGUUAUUAAAUGAGAAGAUGUAUUAGCAUAAUCCUCUACUUUAAGAGGCAUUUAAUAAAACUGAACGGUGACUGAUAAAUAGUAUUAACCCAAUAUAAAAAUAAAUACAUAGCGAAUGUUAAUUUUUAUUCUCUGACGGUUUGGUUUGAUGGUGUUUUUUCUCCUUCACAUUUUUCUUCGUUUAUUCUGGUUGUCUGGAUUUAUCAAGCGAUCAGCUGUCGACCAUUUAUUACGUCGGUUUAGUGUGAUCAAGGAUAUACGUUUACAGAAUAAGAAACAUGGACGCCCGUAUCAUAGUCAUACUAAUGGUAUGUGUUGUGAUGAUAUCGUGCAAACCCCCUCCCUGGAGGACUGGUGAAGUAGAAAAGAACCAUAAGUAUAUCAAGAUAAUGAGUUUAUUAUGUAAGGUCAGACCAACUACUCCUAAAUGUGUAAACUUUUUAGAAAAGGAAGAUGCGAAAAAGGCGAAAGCGAAAGUAACAAGAGAAGAAACACGACGAUCAUAUUAAAAAGGGAACAGAUACUGUUGCAGCGAAGCUGAGAUGACAAGCUAUUGCUAAAGGCUGAAUGUAAAAUUAUUACAGAAAUACCGUUGUGACAUAUUUAGGCGAUCUUAGAACUUACAACAUAAUAAUAACCAUCAUAAGCAGCCGCAAUGUCAAUAACAACUUUCGUUUUGUAAUUUAUUGUAUACAUAUACAAAAUAAACAACAAA